GAUGAACGCUGGCGGCGUGCCUAAUACAUGCAAGUCGAGCGAACAGACGAGGAGCUUGCUCCUCUGACGUUAGCGGCGGACGGGUGAGUAACACGUGGAUAACCUACCUAUAAGACUGGGAUAACUUCGGGAAACCGGAGCUAAUACCGGAUAAUAUAUUGAACCGCAUGGUUCAAUAGUGAAAGACGGUUUUGCUGUCACUUAUAGAUGGAUCCGCGCCGCAUUAGCUAGUUGGUAAGGUAACGGCUUACCAAGGCAACGAUUCGUAUCGAACCUGAGCGGGUGAUCGGCCACACUGGAACUGAGACACGGUCCAGACUCCUACGGGGGGCAGCAGUAGGGAAUCUUCCGCAAUGGGCGAAAGCCUGACGGAGCAACGCCGCGUGAGUGAUGAAGGUCUUCGGAUCGGAAAACUCUGUUAUUAGGGAAGAACAAAUGUGUAAGUAACUAUGCACGUCUUGACGGUACCUAAUCAGAAAGCCACGGCUAACUACGUG
Molecule: ribosomal RNA, 497 nt
Filed under: uncultured bacterium
Lineage: Bacteria
Description: partial 16S ribosomal RNA
Rfam family: Bacterial small subunit ribosomal RNA
Source: RNAcentral